CCGAAGCUGAAGAACCAGGAAGGUUUGCUGCCUCGUCAGAUUGCCAAAGACUCCGGUCACAAAGCAGCAGCCAAGGAGCUCCGGAAAGCAGAGAAGCAGCAGGGGAAAGGCAACAAGUCCAGCGAUGUCAACCUCAUGUCAGACGUCUGGGCGCUGACCCUCCAUGACUGGUCUCACGAAUAUGAGACGGAGCUACGUCAAGCCUUCGGGGACGAAUCGGACUCAGUCAACAAAGACAAGUUUAUCUCUGUGUUGGAGGAGCUAAAGGCUCCGGUGGAACUGGAACAGCUUCGUACAGUCAUCUCAGCCCAUGAAAAGGGAAGACAGGAGGACGUCAACAUUAACGACUUCAUCAAAGGUGUAAAGUACAUAAAGAAACCGUUCCUCCUCUCCUCUUAUAUGCCUAAAAAGAAAAAGGGCGAAAAGGGGGGUAAAGUAGGUAAGAAGAAGGGUAAAUUUGUCCUCCCCGUGCCCGUUUGCACCCAGCCGUUAGAGGUCAUGACCCGACGACCGGACGGAGGCCCUCCUCACUUCAUGAUCGAAACCUACUACAACCCCUCAGACAUCAGGAGGUUCGACCCCGACCACCCACCAGCACAUCCCAUAAUGAACGACUCCGGGUGGUACAUGGAGAAGCCAGAGAAGGUUUACGUCAGCAUCAACUACUGCGUGAAGAGCGGAGAUCUGGAGUCCCUGGACCUGGCCUUCAGCCGUGGGGUUCCUGUGGACGUUCAUGACCAGUUCUACAAGACGCCGCUGAUGGUCGCCUGCUCCAGUGGAAACUACGAGGUCGCCCAGUACCUCCUCGGACACGGGGCUGAUGUGAACAUGUCUGACGGGUUCUUGUGGACGCCCCUCCAUCACGCUGCCUACACCGGAGACGUGGAACUGAUCGAGCUCCUGGUGAAGGCCGGAGCUGCUGUGGAUGCUCAGGCCCUUGGUGGAGGAACGCCACUAAUGAGGGCCAUUGAAAGCUCCAAACCCGCCUGCGUGGACUUCCUCAUCAAGGCGGGGGCCAGAGUGAAUGCAGAGACCAACAAAGGUCAUAACUGCCUGGAUGUGGCCAGAGCUUUUGGAGACUCCAGAGUAAUCAACUUGGUCAAAGAUAAGAUGGAUUCUCUGCCCAAACCCAAGGACCCGGGGAAGGGAAAGGGGGGCAACAAUCAAAAAACCAAACCUGCUAAAGUGAAGGGAGUUUCUGCAGGAGGUUCAGUUCACGCCAAGGCAUCGACAGCUACAGCAGGACUCACACUGGCACAGCAGAAGGAAUCAAAGAGUGUCAUCCUGCAGAACACAAGGAUCACUACAGGGAAGACAAGCACUGUGGAUAUCACCUUUGUGCCAAAAACGGUCUGGGGGAAGCCUCCCUCCACCCAGCAGCUGAUGUCUCACAUAGACAGACGGAAGCAGAACUUCUCCCUGGAGGUGGACUUGGACGAUCUGCUGAUGCCGUUCAACCGCAACAUCCAGAGGAAGAUCCUGGAGCUGACCGAGCAGAUGGACUAGACUGGAGGAAGAUCCUUCAGGCUGCGGCUCGUGUCCAGAGCUGUAACUGUGUUUGGACCACAGCGAGGGAAGAGAGAGACAGUAAAUUAUGACGAAGGAGAGGGAAGCUGAUGGAAGGGAGCAGGAAACCAGACCAAACAUGGGCACAGGUGACGCACGGAGGAUACCCAGUUUCCAUAGCAACAGGCAGGUGCAAGACACUGGGAGCGAGCUUUCGAUCUGCUGAGGGAGAGUUACACAACAAACACACAACAUGUGAAGACGAACACGCCUGCGUGAACAUGGUAGUGCUGCCAGACGAGAUAUGAUUGACCAACCAGGACACGGACUCUGCUGACCCUUAAAACACACAUGGAUGCUGGGAAACGCCUGACGCAUUGGGGAUGGGAGAGGGGAUGAAAGGGGGAGUCGACAAGAAAGAGAGGGAGGAGAAGGAUGAGGCGGGAGGCUGAGAUUAAAGGGGAAGAGGAGCUGGGGGACGGGAGUGUUGAUCUGUACCCUGGGGCAGCAGCGUUACAUGAUGAAGGAGGAGAGCUGGGGUUGUUGUUGCACAGCGAAGAGAGAACGAGAGAGGGAGGUGAUGAGAUGGAGGAAAAGUUGAGGAAAGUAUAAGGAAUGUGGUAGAAAAAAAAUACCCUGAUGAGUCAGAACGUUAAAACCACCUCCUUAUAUCGUAUAGAUCCCUUUGUCUCACCCAGACAGCUCUGAUCCAUCGGGGUAUGGAACCUCCUGGGAUGUUUUGUUGGGUCUGGCACUGGGAUGUUGGUUGAUGAUCCUUUAAGGCAUCUACAGACUGUACAAUUUCAACAAUCUUCUAAGUUCCCAGCUUGCUCCGCUGUAUGACAUAAAUCUAAUCAUCUUUGGACACGACGUGAAGUUUGCUCUGUGCAGAUUAACGAUGAAAACGCAGCUGAAUCUCAGCCUACAAUGUAUGUGAGUCAACGUGAACGAAGAAUAACACGUCAUCAGCGUGCGCCGUCCAUCCAUGAAAACGAAACAACCGAAGCAUAAACGGAGCUCCUACAAUCACAGGGAAACUAGCCAAACAUGAACCCUACAAACACAGGGAAACUAGCCAAACAUGAGCCCUACAAUCACAGGGAAACUAGCCAAACAUGAACCCUACAAUCACAGAGAAACUAGCCAAACAUGAACCCUACAAACACAGGGAAACUAGCCAAACAUGAGCCCUACAAUCACAGAGAAACUAGCCAGACAUGACCCCUACAAUCACAGGGAAACUAGCCAGACAUGACCCCUACAAUCACAGGGAAACUAGCCAAACAUGGACCCUACAAUCACAGGAAACUAGCCAAACAUGAACCCUACAAACACAGGGAAACUAGCCAAACAUGAACCCUACAAUCACAGAGAAACUAGCCAAACAUGAACCAUACAAACACAGGGAAACUAGCCAAACAUGAGCCCUACAAUCACAGAGAAACUAGCCAGACAUGACCCCUACAAUCACAGGGAAACUAGCCUGACGUGAUCCCUACAAUCACAGGGAAACUAGCCAAACAUGAACCCUACAAUCACAGGAAACUAGCCAAACAUGACCCCUACAAUCACAGGGAAACUAGCCAAACAUGAACCCUACAAUCACAGGAAUCUAGCCAAACAUGACCCCUACAAUCACAGGGAAACUAGCCAAACAUGAACCCUACAAAUACAGGGAAACUAGCCCAACAUGAGCUCUACAAUCACAGGGAAACUAGCCAAACAUGACCCCUACAAUCACAGGGAAACUAGCCAAACAUGAACCCUACAAUCACAGGAAACUAGCCAAACAUGACCCCUACAAUCACAGGGAAACUAGCCAAACAUGAACCCUACAAUCACAGGAAUCUAGCCAAACAUGACCCCUACAAUCACAGGGAAACUAGCCAAACAUGAACCCUACAAAUACAGGGAAACUAGCCAAACAUGACCCCUACAAUCACAGGGAAACUAGCCAAACAUGAACCCUACAAUCACAGGAAACUAGCCAAACAUAACCCCUACAAUCACAGGGAAACUAGCCAAACAUGACCCCUACAAUCACAGGGAAACUAGCCCUGUGAUGUCUCUUCUGGUAGUGACGUAACUGGAACUCUGGUGGUUGAUAAAGGCACUCUGUCUUCUUGAUGUUCAUUCUGAGGCUGCAUUGGCUAUCUGCUCUUGCGAAUUUCUCCACUAAAGAUUGCAUAUAUUCCGCACUGUGUGAAACUAGAGCACUGUCGUCGGCAAAGAGCUUUUCUCCUACUACCUUUAUCGAUGUCUUACUCUUGGCUUUAAACUGUGCCACACUGAACAGAUCUGCUCCAAGCUGCUUGUAAUUCUGCACAUUCAGGCGUCUUGAAGGUAAUUCUACAUCAAACUUUCAGAGACGGUCAGAAUGGUGGCAUGUUUUUAUUUGUGGAGUUGGAACUAGUUCUCUGAAACAUCUUAUUUCCUUCUUCCUGAUAGUUUCUCUGCUCACUGGACAUCUGAGCCCCAGUCAUGCGGCAGGGCAGCGUCAGCUGUUCAGACGUUCACACACAUUUAUGUGCAGUUUCUAUACGCACACAUGCACAUAUGGGAGUGCGCUCGUUCUGAGUUCAGUCGGCAUUAAUGUUCCACUUCCUGUGAGCUAGCCAGGAGGGACGUUAGCUUCUGGGCCAGUGACUCUCACCAUGUCUGUCCUGUUUGUUUCCUUCUCCUCUCUGCUGGGUUGUUGCAUCACCUUGAGUUGUGUUGCGAUGCUUUACACUGUGUUACUGUGUGUGUCGCUGGUCAGGAUUGGUGUCGUUUUAUUGCAUUAGAUUAGGAGACUUGAUGACUUAUGUAAGCUCAUGUUGCAUCAUGUGUUUUUUGGCUCUGUCUGGCUGCGUUCUUUGUUCUGUCCUGUUCUUAUCUGCUCUGCUGCACUCAGCUGUUGACACUCAGUGUUUCUAAUAUCCAGCCGAACCCUGUGUGGCUUCAUGAUUCAGCAGCGUAAACCUGAAGGGAGGCAGAAAAUAGGAGAGGAAAAGGUGCAAAUUGACCCAAUGAGAGAGAUGAAAACAUGGAAGGAGAAAGUCAGGGAGCAAACACAAGAGAGAAAACAGAAAAGCCAAGGAGAGAAAAGACAGAGAGGUGUAGAGCUGCAGGUCGAUGCCGAUCGAUUCUCCCUGACAACCAUCCUCACCAUCAGAUACAAGACCUUCAGUCCCACACUUAUCAAUGUCGCCACUCACUCGCCAUCUAUCAAUACCUCAAUUAUCAGAUUGAAUAUCGCUCUCCCCAGUGGGCUGAAUGCGACUGAGAGCUAUUCUUCAUCCUCGCUGAUGUGUUCACAGCUCAGCGCCUCUUUAGAGACAAAACAACUCAACAGGCCUGCAGGUGGAUGCAGUGAGAGGCGAAACACAGAGCGACAGAAACCAUUAUCAGAUUAAACAUUCUGGUAGAGAAAUGCUCACUGGUACUGCUGGAAAGUACAGUAACUCAAAACUGUCCCUACAUACAUGAACUGUAAAAUACUAAAUGUAAAAUACUAAAAUAACCCCUAACCCCUAAUACCUAAAAUACCAUUUUUCUCUUGUCCACCCCCCUGAUGACCAAACUGAAUCUCUAAUAAAAACUGAAUUUAAUUUAAAUCUCCUUUUCUUGGUUUUAUUUUUUUUAUUCAUGUCUCUGUAAUUGUGUGAACAUUUUUUCAUCAACAUAAUAUUUUAAAUAACAAUUAUUAUGGAUGGAAUGUGUCCCACAAUAAGUUAGCAUCACCUGUUGAUGACGUUUUUGUUUUGUGUCUCAUUUUUGUCAUUUUUAGUCUCAUUUUUGCCGCUUUGUCUUCUUUUUGUCAUUUUGUGUCUUGUUUUUGUCAUUUUGUGUCGCAUUUUUGUUAUUUUGUGUCUCAUUUUUGUCGUUUUAUGUCUCGUUUUUGUUGUUUUCUGUUUCGUUUCUCUUGUUUAGUGUAUCGUUUCUGUCAUUUUGUGUCUUGUUUCUGUCAUUUUUUGUCUUAUUUUUAGCAUUUUGUGUCUUGUGUCUUGUCCAAUGAAUUGCAUUAUCUGAUUCCUUCAUAUGAAGAAUUAAAUAGGUGAUGAAAUAUCUUACAUGAACUUAAAGAUUUUGCAUGAGUGAAGCAUUUAAAUUCCUCCACCCUGAGAAACGCAUGCACAGCAUGAUGAGCUGGAACAUUCCUGCACACGGUGGCCAGAUGGACGUACAGUCGUGACGAGCUCCGAUGAAAAACAGGUCUGAUGGUGUGUUUGGUGCGAUGACUAAGGGAUGAGAGAAAGGCAGAUUUUAGUGCUGAGUCACAGCAGGACUGUUGCUGCUGCAUCGUCCUCCCUCCUUCCCGCAUUCCCUCCCCCACACCGAGCCGCUUCAUCCCUCACCCAUCCCUCAUUCUCCUCACAUACAGAUAAAUAAAUAGAAGCCUGUAUGGUCCAUCUCUGCUCCCCUCCUCUCUAAUGUCACACCUCCAUCUCCUUUCAUGCAUCUGUUUUUUGUUUCUAUCCAGCUCCCAUCGUCUCUUUCUGGUUUUUUGCCUCGUCACUGUUUCUCAGCUCACCCCUCCCUGGUCCUCCUCUCCUCCCUCCUUCCCCCGUGAAGUUUAAUUAAGAGUGAAAUCAGUCAGAGGAGAGAUCAGAGUGUCGGAGCUUGUCUGCUACAGGGUUGAUAAUGCUGCAGCUAAUCUUCUCCUCCACUUGCUGUGUUGUUGCUCUCUGACCCUCCAUCCUAAACACCUUCUUCACACAAACUCCACCCAGAUUCAGAGUAAGAUGCAAAGCCAGAAAACACAGCAGCAGUUCUUCCUCCAGCAUCAUGUUAGAUUCCGCUGCUAAACGAACCUGCAGCCUUCGUCUUUAUCAGGAGCUUCGAUCUGCAGCAGCUCUGUGGAGGAUGGAAAUGUGGAAGAUAAGCAGCAGCAGAGCCAGGGGGAUGUUUCUGGAAAUAAGCUGACAAUGGCCAGUUCAGACGGCUGAUAACCCUGUCAGACAAAAAAAUAAGAAUAUUAAUUUAACAUCCUCAGUGUUAACACAAGAGCUCGUGAAAUUGGAUUAACCUGAAUCCAGUCUGAAUAAAUCUCUGUGACAAAGAACAGGUAGUUUCUUUUAGUUUUUUGUUUUUUUUUUACUCUAGAAGAAUUUGCUGAGUCACUGGAAGACAUUUUUUUUUAACUAUUUUUAUCUCAUUCAUGCUUUUUUAUUUACUAAAAUCAAAGAGAAAAUGAAUGAAACAAAUGCAGAGAAACAAAGUCAGGAGUUUAACACAGAGCUAAUGUUUGAGUUUAUUUUUACUGGAAACUAUGAAUGACUUGUAGUGCACAGAAUGUAAUCUGUUACUGGGUUAAAUCAGGUAUUACUGAAGCUGGAGUCAACAUAAACUAGCUCUAAAUUUCUCCCUAGUUUUAAUAAAUGUUCAAAUAAUCCAGUAUCUCCCCAAAAAUCAAAGAUAUGAGAAGGCUGAAAACAGAUUUGUCUAUCAGAACAGUUUUUUCAUCUUUCAUCUCUUAUUAAUCUGAUAACCCUUCAGAUUUAUCUUCUGUCCAUAUAUAUAAAACGUUUUGAGUCUCAUUUUUGUUGUUUUUUGGUGUUUCGCGUCUCGUUUUCGUGAUUUUGUCUCGUUUUUUUUGUCAUUUGUGUCUUGUUUUUGUCAUUUUGUGUCUCGUUUUUGUCGUUUUGUAUCUCAAUUUGUCGUUUUGCAUCUCGUUUUUGUCAUUUUGUGUCUUGUUUUUGUCAUGUUGUGUCUUGUUUUUGUCGUUUCCAUCAUCCAGCAGUGUUCCUAUAGAAUGGGUAGAUCAAAGCUAUGUCCUCUCUUCUAUUUUCCAUAUUUUCAUCCCAUUGUCAGCCUUGAUUGAACGUCUCCCUCCAGCUCAUAUUAUCAGGAUCAGACUAAUUCUUUGGACUGUUUUCCAUCAGUCAGUUUGUCCUCUUGGUCAGCAGUAACAGCAGAUAAAUAUCUAGCUUCUACUGCUGAGAAAAAGAUCACAUUAGCAUGGAUUAGAGUAGAGUUAGCAAACAACACAGAAAACAAAGAAUAACAAGCUGAGCCAAUCAAUACCUAUUAUUGAUCAAUGUGGAGCGGAAAACUGGAUAUAUUGUGCAGCCAGAAUCAGAAUAUUAAUGAAGUCUAGAAUUGCAUUAUUUGUUUUUAUGACUCCUUUUGUUUUUUAUUUAGCUAUAAAAAAAUAAUUCCAUGUUGUCACACAUUUUACCGUCCUAUAUGAGUGAGUUAAACCCAUCUGCACAUUUAGGAUCAGGUUUUUACAGUCUCCCUGGGUCAAAACCGUCAGACAUUAAUACAUUAAAUCUAACUGGAACCAUUACACUUUUAAUUAGAUGAGUUUAUAGUAAAUAAAUGACGUGUUGUGGAUCUCCAAUAGGCCUCCAGAGGACCUCAGACUGAAACCUGAUCCUUCUUCAAACACAAUCCUGCUCUUCCAUCAGUGUUUAAUCUGGUUUGUUCCACUCUUAUUUUAUUGUUUUCCAGGAGAACGACUGAACGAGGAACCUGUAGAUUCAUUUUCCUCACUCUCUCCACACAAACACACACAUCCUACCCCACCUCUAACACAAUAAACACACAAACCGUCCUCUGGAGACACACAGGGAGUCGUUGGGCGCGCGCGCACACACACACACACACACACACACACACACACACACACACACACACACACACACACACACACACACACACACACACACACACACACACACA
Molecule: RNA transcript, 8172 nt
Organism: Amphiprion ocellaris (clown anemonefish)
Lineage: Eukaryota; Metazoa; Chordata; Actinopteri; Pomacentridae
Gene: ankef1a
Gene name: ankyrin repeat and EF-hand domain containing 1a
Exons: 7
Source: RefSeq, a predicted model, not a curated record